GUGAAUCAUCGAAUUUUUGAACGCAAAUUGCACUCUCUUCGGAGCGUAUGCCUGUUUGAGGGUCAGCCUAAAAAAAAUCGAUAUAGUCGCUGUUUCGUGGUGACAUUCGUCGGAAAUUGUGUCAUCUUAUACCUUUGGGUUUUAAGCGGUUUAAAAUUUUCUUUAUGAUUCCACGAGCGAUUCUAAGAUUUACUUCUUAUACGCUUAAGGUAAUCGAU
RNAcentral lists this unclassified non-coding RNA (218 nucleotides) under Glomus sp. RNAcentral describes it as "partial contains 5.8S ribosomal RNA and internal transcribed spacer 2". The stretch from base 1 to 65 matches the Rfam family "5.8S ribosomal RNA", at positions 84 to 154 of the family's 154-position model. The record is from RNAcentral. Lineage: Eukaryota; Fungi; Glomeromycota; Glomeromycetes; Glomerales; Glomeraceae.